This 564-nucleotide ribosomal RNA is filed under the name uncultured Glomeromycotina. RNAcentral's name for it is "SSU rRNA". It matches the Rfam family "Eukaryotic small subunit ribosomal RNA", at positions 548 to 1114 of the family's 1831-position model. Lineage: Eukaryota; Fungi; Glomeromycota. The record is from RNAcentral.
UUGGAGGGCAAGUCUGGUGCCAGCAGCCGCGGUAACUCCAGCUCCAAUAGCGUAUAUUAAAGUUGCUGCAGUUAAAAAGCUCGCAGUUGAAUUUCGGGAUCAGAGUGUCGGUCGUGCCUCGGUACGCACUGGUAUUAUUGGUUCCUACCUUCUGAAGAACCGCGAUGUCAUUAAUUUGGUGUCGUGGGGAAUCAGGACUGUUACUUUGAAAAAAUUAGAGUGUUUAAAGCAGGCUUACGCUUGAAUACAUUAGCAUGGAAUAAUGAAAUAGGACGUUUGAUUCUAUUUUGUUAGUUUCUAGGAUUGACGUAAUGAUUAAUAGGGAUAGUUGGGGGCAUUAGUAUUCAAUUGUCAGAGGUGAAAUUCUUGGAUUUAUUGAAGACUAACUACUGCGAAAGCAUUUGCCAAGGAUGUUUUCAUUAAUCAAGAACGAAAGUUAGGGGAUCGAAGACGAUCAGAUACCGUCGUAGUCUUAACCAUAAACUAUGCCGACUAGGGAUCGGAUGAUGCUAAUUUUUUAAUGACUCAUUCGGCGCCUUACGGGAAACCAAAGUGUUUGGGUUC